This 334-nucleotide ribosomal RNA is filed under the name Anaspides tasmaniae (Tasmanian mountain shrimp). Its description in RNAcentral is "partial large subunit ribosomal RNA". The record is from RNAcentral. Lineage: Eukaryota; Metazoa; Arthropoda; Malacostraca; Anaspidacea; Anaspididae.
AUCAUUUGUCUUUUAAUUGAAGGCUGGAAUGAAUGGUUGAACAAAAAAUAGUCUGUCUCGUUGUUAAAAUUAAAAUUUGACUUUUAAGUAAAAAGGCUUAAAUAAUAUAGAAUGACGAUAAGACCCUAUAAAGCUUUAUAUUUAAAAAAUGAUUAAUAAUGGAAAUUUAAAAAUUAUUUAUUUAGAAAAUAUUAUGUUGGGGCGACAAAAAUAAAAAUUGUAACUGUUUAUUUAUUAAAAACUUGUAAUAAAAGAAAAAAUGAUCCUUUAAUAAAGAUUAAAAGAUUAAGUUACUUUAGGGAUAACAGCGUAAUCUUUUUUAAGAGUUCAUAUC